GAUAGCAUUGGAUUGUGCUUUCUAGCAUAUCACAUUAAUAACCUCAAUGCUUUUUUUUACAUGCAACCACCCCCAAGUAUAAUAGUUUACUUAUUUUUAACCAAAAUACCCUCUUUUUGUUUUUUUUUUCGAGUUUUCCACUCUCUCUCUUUAAGCAAGUGGGAGCCCAAUAUGUGCCGAACCGGCACAACUUUAAUAUAGAACUGGUCCGGCAUUUCGUUUGUGCUAAAAGCCGGUUCGGCAUAGAUUGGGUUAAAGAACUCGUAUGUGUGACAGCGGGCGAUGGAAAGGUGACAAAAAUGUACCUUCAAAUAUUAUUCAGAAAUGUGGUUUGAAUAUUAGAAAUGUGGUUUGAAUAUUGAAAAUCUUUGUGAUAGCUUUAAAAUUAGUAUAGAUCGAGCUGAUCUAUGAAAAUCUUGAAAAUUGACGGUCUAAAAAUACGUUACAAGAUGUACAAUUUCCAUGUAUCUUGAUGUCAAGAUGAUAUAUUUGAUGAUAUUUGUGCAUCAAAAUAACCUCUUCUAGUGAAAUUUUUGAAGUGGGUUCUAAUUUGAUUGUUUAGAACCGUGACUCUAUAUGAACAUUAUUUUUUGACUUUGUCGGUUUGGAAGAAAAUAUAUAUAUAUUUUUG
Molecule: long non-coding RNA, 631 nt
Filed under: Amborella trichopoda
Lineage: Eukaryota; Viridiplantae; Streptophyta; Magnoliopsida; Amborellales; Amborellaceae
Description: long non-coding RNA (ATRI_LNC004465)
Source: RNAcentral